GACGAACGCUGGCGGCGUGCUUAACACAUGCAAGUCGAACGAUGAAGAAGAGAAACGCGGACUUCGGUUCAAACUUCACUUCGGAGCAGUGGCAGACGGGCGAGUAACGCGUGUGCAACCUACCUCUUACAAAGGGAUAGCCUCGGGAAACCGUGAUUAAUACCAUAUGACACCUUCAUAACGUAUCUUAAGAAUGUUAAAGCUACGGCGGUAAGAGAUGGGCUCGCGUCCCAUUAGCUAGUGGGUGAAGUAACGGCGCACCAAAGCGACGGUGGGGAACCGGGCUGAGAGACUGAACGGUCACAUUGGAACUGAGCCACGGUCCAGACUCCUACAGAAGGAAGGAGAGUGGAAUAUAGCACGAGGGAGGGAGCUCUGAUGCAGCGACGCCGCGUGAGCGAUGAAGGGAUUAGUUACGAACAGCUCUGUUCUAUGGCGAGGAGAGGACUGUACCAUAGGAGAAAGCCCCGGCUAAAUACGUG
RNAcentral lists this ribosomal RNA (482 nucleotides) under uncultured bacterium. Its description in RNAcentral is "partial 16S ribosomal RNA". It matches the Rfam family "Bacterial small subunit ribosomal RNA", at positions 28 to 507 of the family's 1533-position model. The record is from RNAcentral.